This 253-nucleotide ribosomal RNA is filed under the name uncultured bacterium. RNAcentral describes it as "partial 16S ribosomal RNA". It matches the Rfam family "Bacterial small subunit ribosomal RNA", at positions 524 to 776 of the family's 1533-position model. The record is from RNAcentral.
UACGGAGGAUGCAAGCGUUAUCCGGAUUCAUUGGGUUUAAAGGGUGCGUAGGCGGGGUGGUAAGUCAGUGGUGAAAGCCUGCAGCUUAACUGUAGAAUUGCCAUUGAUACUGUCGCUCUUGAGUGCGGUUGAGGCAGGCGGAAUGUGUAAUGUAGCGGUGAAAUGCUUAGAUAUUACACAGAACACCGAUUGCGUAGGCAGCUUGCUAAACCGUGACUGACGAUGAGGCACGAAAGAGUGGGGAGCAAACAGG